Cinara cedri is the source of this 227-nucleotide non-coding RNA. The record is from the annotation of a GenBank genome assembly. NCBI's taxonomy places the organism in Eukaryota, Metazoa, Arthropoda, Insecta, Hemiptera, Aphididae.
GUAACGAAUAAAUUAAACGGUUCGGCUAUCCCGCGACGACGGAUUAAACACUAUUAUUGUAUUUUACUACGGCGGGUGAUCCGAAAAAUACGCCACUAUCGUCGUAAAUAAUCGGGGAGGAGGGGGAAAAGUGAAUAGGAGGGAAGUAAAGGCGGUUGAUUUCAGGUCCAAAUUUCUCCGUAAAAAUAACUGCGGUCAAAAUAUUCCCAGUAGAAAAUUGUAUUCGA